GUGAAUAAUAUAAAAUUCAUUGUGUGUGUGUGUGUGUGUGUAUGAUAUUGGAAACACAGUGAAAGUUGUUGGAUAAUAGAGUGGUUAGGGGACAUGGAAAGAAACAGGAAUAGAGAGCAUUAAAUUUUAGUAAAAUAUAUGUCUGGAAAAUUAAUGGCAGAAAUGUAUAACACAUUCUCUUUCGGGGUGGAUAUUAAUAAGAGGAGAGGGGGUGAAUGGAGAGUACGAAGGAGGACAAUUGUAAUCAAAGAACUUUAUAUACAUGCAUGAAAAUAGAACAAUGAAACCUGUUGAAAUUGUUUUAAGAAGAAGGAUGAGAUCAGGAGAUAUUGUAUGCAUACAUGGAAAUACCACAAUGAAAAUCUCUUCUUCCACCAAUAUAUGUUUCUAAAAAGCUGGUAAAAUACAUGCAAUACAUAAUUUACCAUCCUAACCAUUUUGUGGUUCAGUUGCAUUAAGUAUGUUUGCAGUAUUAUGCAGAUACAGGACUCCUGGCCAAAUUGAACCUGUCCCAUUAAAUAACAACUCUUCAUUUUCUCUUUGCCCCAGCUUAUUGUGCAUCUGGACUGACUGUAAGUGCUGCCAUACAGUAUUAUCUUUUGUGACAUGCUUUUAUAAUGUCCUCAAAGUCGCCCAGGUCAUAGCAAUUGACAGAAUUUCUUUCCCUUUUAAGACUGAAUACUAUUACAUUGUAUGCAUACAUAACUUUUUUCAUGUAUUUGUUGACAGACACUUGGACUUUCACAAAUGAUGCUGCCCCAUUACAAUAGCUGUACGUGUACCUCCACAAGUCCCUACUAUUCUUUUGGGUAUAUUCCUGGUCUACAUUAAUCUUGAUCACUUGGGUGUUGGGGUAUGUGUUGAAUGGUGAGCCAGAUAAUUGAUGAAUCCUUACCCAGACUACAAACCUCUUGCUUUCCCCAAACCCACCUUCCAGGUUAUGUAAAUGUAUGAAAUCAUGUAAAUUUCAGGACAGCACUUUAGAGAUGUCCCUUGAAUUCUUGCCUGAGAUCUGCGAUAAAUUAGAACCUAGAUUCUUCCUUAGCCUCGGUCUCUUUUAGCAUUAGAUAUGGCCUGUUGUGGCACUCAACAUAGUUCCCUCAUUGUCGCCUGCCUUUGGGGUCCCAUUGGUUCUCCUAGGGAAGUUUCAGAACAUGACGAGAGAAGGCUGCUGGGAAUCUGCGUCCUCAGGUCACCCAUGGAGUUACCACGAUAGGUGUACAUCCUCAUUGCCUUUGUCCAUGUCCAGCUGAGGUCCUCUUCCCUUUACUCACUGGAUGGAGCAGACGGACUUUCCACUCACGUGUUCACUAAAAUAUAGGCCAUAUAGGAUGUGGGGAAUGUUCCCUCCAGAGUUUUCUUUGGGAUCAGAGUUUCCUUGGGAGUCCUGCCACAUCCUGCCUGAGAUCACUCUUGCCCAUAGAGGUAUCAAAGGAUGCUCUUUUUUGGGGAGGAAGUUCUGGAUCCUAGGUUAUGAUCUUCAUCCUCUGAUGAGGGCAGCCUCUAAGCGAGAAAUAACAAAGAUGGCAUAGGUGGGCUCCACAUAGGAUUUCAGGGAGACAAUGUUCAGGUGCUGGGCAUGUAGUGAUGUAGCAGCACCCAGACAGGAUGAGCUUUGGUGCUAAGUUCUGGUAGAGUAUCCCAUGCUAGGAAGUUAAGAAGUGGUCAAAAAGAGGUAUGAAGGCCAAGGGUUGCCUACUUUUGCUUUUCUAUCCAUAAAAGAGACCAUGAUUUAUGCAAGCAACAGGGUUUGGAGCAGGCCUGAAGUUGGCAUUGAUAAAACAUUUGCUCUAAUUUAUUGUCUUUUCAUGUGUGUUUCUGAAAGAACCAUUUGCAGGUGAUUUAUAUUCUACACUCAUUAUUUACUUAACAGGCUUUAUGAAUUCAUCUAUUCCACACUAUUGAGAAGCUUACCUUUGUGUUUGUGGGAAGUGCAGCCUGAGUUAUUGUCUGAAUAAAUCACAUUAAAUUUA
Long non-coding RNA from Dipodomys spectabilis (banner-tailed kangaroo rat), 1973 nucleotides. RefSeq lists it as uncharacterized. The transcript is spliced from 3 exons. The record is from RefSeq and is a predicted model, not a curated record. NCBI's taxonomy places the organism in Eukaryota, Metazoa, Chordata, Mammalia, Rodentia, Heteromyidae.